ACUCCUACGGGAGGCAGCAGUGGGGAAUAUUGCACAAUGGGCGCAAGCCUGAUGCAGCCAUGCCGCGUGUAUGAAGAAGGCCUUCGGGUUGUAAAGUACUUUCAGCAGUGAGGAAGGUGGGUAUGUUAAUAGCAUAUUCAUUUGACGUUAGCUGCAGAAGAAGCACCGGCUAACUCCGUGCCAGCAGCCGCGGUAAUACGGAGGGUGCGAGCGUUAAUCGGAAUUACUGGGCGUAAAGCGCAUGCAGGUGGUUUGUUAAGUCAGAUGUGAAAGCCCGGGGCUCAACCUCGGAAUUGCAUUUGAAACUGGCAAACUAGAGUACUGUAGAGGGGGUAGAAUUUCAGGUGUAGCGGUGAAAUGCGUAGAGAUCUGAAGGAAUACCGGUGGCGAAGGCGGCCCCCUGGACAGAUACUGACACUCAGAUGCGAAAGCGUGGGAGCAAACAGGAUUAGAU
RNAcentral lists this ribosomal RNA (454 nucleotides) under uncultured bacterium. RNAcentral describes it as "bacterial SSU rRNA". It matches the Rfam family "Bacterial small subunit ribosomal RNA", at positions 335 to 783 of the family's 1533-position model. The record is from RNAcentral.